RNAcentral lists this ribosomal RNA (455 nucleotides) under uncultured soil bacterium. RNAcentral describes it as "bacterial SSU rRNA". It matches the Rfam family "Bacterial small subunit ribosomal RNA", at positions 26 to 451 of the family's 1533-position model. The record is from RNAcentral.
AGAACGAACGCUGGCGGCGUGCCUAACACAUGCAAGUCGAACGAGAAAGGGGCUUCGGCUCCGAGUAAAGUGGCGCACGGGUGAGUAACACGUAGGUAACCUGCCUCUAAGAUUGGGAUAACUUGUCGAAAGACGAGCUAAUACCAAAUAAGACCACGGUCUCCUCGGGGACAGAGGUCAAAGGUAGCCUCUAUUUAUAAGCUAUCGCUGAGAGAUGGGCCUGCGUACCAUUAGCUUGUUGGUGAGGCAACGGCUCACCAAGGCAAAGAUGGUUAGCUGGUCUGAGAGGAUGAUCAGCCACACUGGAACUGAGACACGGUCCAGACCUCCGUACGGGAGGCAGACAGGUAGGGGAAUAGUUGCGACAAGUGGGACGAAAGCCUAGACGCGAGCCAACGCCGCGUGAGUGAGUGAAGGCCGUUACGGUACGUAAAGUCUCGUGUACGGUAGGAACG